GCUCCCCGCAGCACCAACUCUUACCUGUGAUUUCCAUGUUGAUCAGUUUGUUCUUUGGCGUAUUUCUCAGGAAGGGGACUUCACUGAGUCUCAGGCACGAGGGACAGCUCAGCCAGGUCCAUGCCAGCCUUUCGUUCAGACCACUGGGUGUCACAUCAUCACCUGUAGAUGGUGUUGUGGAGGAGACCUCUGGGCCAUGUUGAGUUUUGUUUUGUGGCAGGAAAUGUGUUUUUCUUUAAUGUUUCAGGCUUCUGCCCCACCCUUAUUUUUAUAAUAAAAAUAAUGUUCAGCUUCAUUGAUGUGGUCCUUUUUAGAGUUUUGUCUAGAACAGGAUGGCCCUGUAGGAGCGCUUAUUCAGUUCUUUAGUCUUAUUUUUAGUUUCUCUUUCUCCACUUUAAUUUUACUAUUUAAAAAUAAUUUUUGCUAGCCUUCCAUUACAGUUUUCAUUCUUGUCUUGUAGCCACCAUGAUUGCAUGAUCAUGUGGGUUUUCGUAGCAUGACCAUAUGUCUGAGGCUUUGUGAACUGUUUGUUUUCUUGCUUCUGUAUGUAUUGUUGAGAGGUGGGAGAGCUUAUCCCAGGGUUGCACACAGUUGCUGCUUUAACUGGACCCUCCACCCUGAGCCUCUGAAGCAAGGAGAGCAUUGGGCAGGCAUCCUGCCGGUCUGUGAUGGAUUGUGUUGUUGGCAGAAGCCAGGAGCCAGCCCUCACUGGCCUUGCACAGGACGUACAUCCUUACCCACAGGUAGAGUUAGUAUUAUGAAUAGGGUCGUUUCCUUACCUAAAAUACUUCUUAAAUAUCAUGAAGCAGUUGAUUGUACGUGUGUGUGUGUGUGUGUGUGUGUGUGUGUUGGGUAUUGAGCCCAUGGCCUCAUGUACGAUAGGCAAGUGUUCUACACAGCCCUUUUUAAUUUUUUAUUUUGAGGAGGGUCUAAGUUGCUCAGGGUAACCUUGAACUUGCGAUCCUCCUGUUUCAGCCUCCUGAGUUGUUGGGAUUAUAGAUGUAUUCUGC
RNAcentral lists this long non-coding RNA (1010 nucleotides) under Marmota monax (woodchuck). Lineage: Eukaryota; Metazoa; Chordata; Mammalia; Rodentia; Sciuridae. The record is from RNAcentral.